Molecule: transfer RNA, 61 nt
Filed under: human gut metagenome
Rfam family: tRNA
About the family: Transfer RNA (tRNA) molecules are approximately 80 nucleotides in length. Their secondary structure includes four short double-helical elements and three loops (D, anti-codon, and T loops).
Source: RNAcentral
UUAGCUCAGUGGAUUAGAGUGCCGGAUUCCGAUUCCGAAGGUCGUGGGUUCAAAUCCCCCA